UAACACAUGCAGUCGAGCGGAACGAGUUAUCUGAACCUUCGGGGGACGAUAACGGCGUCGAGCGGCGGACGGGUGAGUAAUGCCUAGGAAAUUGCCCUGGUGUGGGGGAUAACCAUUGGAAACGAUGGCUAAUACCGCAUAAUACCUUCGGGUCAAAGAGGGGGACCUUCGGGCCUCUCGCGUCAGGAUAUGCCUAGGUGGGAUUAGCUAGUUGGUGAGGUAAUGGCUCACCAAGGCGACGAUCCCUAGCUGGUCUGAGAGGAUGAUCAGCCACACUGGAACUGAGACACGGUCCAGACUCCUACGGGAGGCAGCAGUGGGGAAUAUUGCACAAUGGGCGCAAGCCUGAUGCAGCCAUGCCGCGUGUGUGAAGAAGGCCUUCGGGUUGUAAAGCACUUUCAGUCGUGAGGAAGGUAGUGUAGUUAAUAGCUGCAUUAUUUGACGUUAGCGACAGAAGAAGCACCGGCUAACUCCGUGCCAGCAGCCGCGGUAAUACGGAGGGUGCGAGCGUUAAUCGGAAUUACUGGGCGUAAAGCGCAUGCAGGUGGUUUGUUAAGUCAGAUGUGAAAGCCCGGGGCUCAACCUCGGAAUAGCAUUUGAAACUGGCAGACUAGAGUACUGUAGAGGGGGGUAGAAUUUCAGGUGUAGCGGUGAAAUGCGUAGAGAUCUGAAGGAAUACCGGUGGCGAAGGCGGCCCCCUGGACAGAUACUGACACUCAGAUGCGAAAGCGUGGGGAGCAAACAGGAUUAGAUACCCUGGUAGUCCACGCCGUAAACGAUGUCUACUUGGAGGUUGUGGCCUUGAGCCGUGGCUUUCGGAGCUAACGCGUUAAGUAGACCGCCUGGGGAGUACGGUCGCAAGAUUAAAACUCAAAUGAAUUGACGGGGGCCCGCACAAGCGGUGGAGCAUGUGGUUUAAUUCGAUGCAACGCGAAGAACCUUACCUACUCUUGACAUCCAGAGAACUUUCCAGAGAUGGGAUU
This 983-nucleotide ribosomal RNA is filed under the name Vibrio harveyi group sp. Its description in RNAcentral is "bacterial SSU rRNA". It matches the Rfam family "Bacterial small subunit ribosomal RNA", at positions 49 to 1013 of the family's 1533-position model. Lineage: Bacteria; Pseudomonadati; Pseudomonadota; Gammaproteobacteria; Vibrionales; Vibrionaceae. The record is from RNAcentral.